CGGCGGACGGGUGAGUAACACGUGGGUAACCUACCUAUAAGACUGGGAUAACUUCGGGAAACCGGAGCUAAUACCGGAUAAUAUUUCGAACCGCAUGGUUCGAUAGUGAAAGAUGGUUUUGCUAUCACUUAUAGAUGGACCCGCGCCGUAUUAGCUAGUUGGUAAGGUAACGGCUUACCAAGGCGACNGAUACGUAGCCGACCUGAGAGGGUGAUCGGCCACACUGGAACUGAGACACGGUCCAGACUCCUACGGGAGGCAGCAGG
RNAcentral lists this ribosomal RNA (266 nucleotides) under uncultured Staphylococcus sp. RNAcentral describes it as "partial 16S ribosomal RNA". It matches the Rfam family "Bacterial small subunit ribosomal RNA", at positions 96 to 354 of the family's 1533-position model. Lineage: Bacteria; Bacillati; Bacillota; Bacilli; Caryophanales; Staphylococcaceae. The record is from RNAcentral.